GAGUUUGAUCUUGGCUCAGAUUGAACGCUGGCGGCAUGCCUUACACAUGCAAGUCGAACGGCAGCACGGGAGCUUGCUCCUGGUGGCGAGUGGCGAACGGGUGAGUAAUGCAUCGGAACGUAUCCUGGAGUGGGGGAUAACGUAGCGAAAGUUACGCUAAUACCGCAUAUCCUGUGAGCAGGAAAGCGGGGGACCUUCGGGCCUCGCGCUCUUGGAGCGGCCGAUGUCGGAUUAGCUAGUUGGUGAGGUAAAGGCUCACCAAGGCGACGAUCCGUAGCAGGUCUGAGAGGAUGAUCUGCCACACUGGAACUGAGACACGGUCCAGACUCCUACGGGAGGCAGCAGUGGGAAUUUUGGACAAUGGGGGCAACCCUGAUCCAGCCAUGCCGCGUGAGUGAAGAAGGCCU
Molecule: ribosomal RNA, 407 nt
Filed under: bacterium enrichment culture clone ALO1_GLFRUDD03G0KFX
Lineage: Bacteria
Description: bacterial SSU rRNA
Rfam family: Bacterial small subunit ribosomal RNA
Source: RNAcentral